AGUUGAUCCUGGCUCAGGACGAACGCUGGCGGCGUGCUUAACACAUGCAAGUCGAGCGAUGAAGUCUCUUCGGAGACGGAUUAGCGGCGGACGGGUGAGUAACACGUGGGUAACCUGCCUCAUAGAGGGGAAUAGCCUUCCGAAAGGAAGAUUAAUACCGCAUAAGAUUGUAGUUUCGCAUGAAACAGCAAAUUAAAGGAGUAAUCCGCUAUGAGAUGGACCCGCGUCGCAUUAGCUAGUUGGUGAGGUAACGGCUCACCAAGGCGACGAUGCGUAGCCGACCUGAGGAGGGUGAGUCGGCCACAGUUGGGACUGAGACACCGGCCCAGACUCCGUACGGGAGGCAGCAGGUGGGGAAUAUUGCACAAGUGGGGGAAACCCUGAUGCAAAACCAACGCCGCGUGAGUGAUGACGGUCUUCGGAUUGUAAAGCUCUGUCUUCAGGGACGAUAAUGACGGUACCUGAGGAGGAAGCCACGGCUAACUACGUGCCAGCCGCGGC
This 501-nucleotide ribosomal RNA is filed under the name uncultured bacterium. RNAcentral's name for it is "bacterial SSU rRNA". It matches the Rfam family "Bacterial small subunit ribosomal RNA", at positions 10 to 518 of the family's 1533-position model. The record is from RNAcentral.